Non-coding RNA from Cricetulus griseus (Chinese hamster), 1186 nucleotides. The record is from RefSeq and is a predicted model, not a curated record. NCBI's taxonomy places the organism in Eukaryota, Metazoa, Chordata, Mammalia, Rodentia, Cricetidae.
UAUCCAGAAGCUGAUGGAAGUAGAAGCAGAUACCCAUAGCUAAACACUGAACUGAACUGGAAUCCAGUUGCAGAGAAGGAGUGAUGAGUAAAGUGGUCAAGACCACACUGGUGAAACCCACAGAAACUCCUGACCUGAAGAAGAGGGAGCUCUUGGACUCCAGAGUGAUCACUGGGAAACCAGCAUGGAACUGAUACGGACCCCAUAAAUCUGCUAAACCUUUGACCUACAAACUGUCCUGCCUGCAAGAUGUGCUGAGGCAAUGGUAGUGCAGAACUUGUGCAGGUGGCCAACCAAUGACUGGUCCAAUUUGAGGUCCACACCCCAAGCCAAACCUGACACUGCCGGGAUGGUCAGGAACCAGAGGGAACAGGAAUGAGUUGCAGUUCCAGUCACACUGAGAUGAUUUCAAAGCCCAUGGACAUGCUACUAGACUCUGUCCAAUGGAACACUAAGAAAGAGAAGCCUCUUUAUGUAGUAGAUGGCUAUGAACACAGAGACCCACACUUGUCAAGGUCAGAGAAUGAGACCACAGAAUUCUCAACCUUAAGUAGCACAUCUAUACCACACUCUCUCCUAUGGCUCGGGGAUCAUCAAAGAGAAGAGGACAUUGGUAACUGAUAGCUGCUGAGAGAGUGGAAGUCGGUUUUCUUUAUGGGUGUGGCUCCUGAUAAGCUGACCAUGCUUCAGUGAUGACUUCACAUCUAAAGGAAGCACUCAAUCAGAAGAAAACAACCACCUCAUGCCACUAUUAGCUCACCCAUGUGGAGUGCAUCCUCUGAGCCUUAGGUGAGAUGUUCUGGGAUUCUACCUCUGACCCUUCUGUUCUGCUGCUUCCUGUUCACACUGCAGUGAUCACAGCUGAUCCUGAAAAAUGACAUUUGUUUUGUUUUACUUACACUGGAAUUGCUUCUAGUUUUUCUCUUUGCACUUGAUGAGGUGGUUGUCAACUAAGAUUCUGUUUCUUCCUCAUCAGAGGGAUUAUACCUGGGGCCUAAGGGAUUUAUACUCUCUUGACAAUCUGAGGUCUCCAGGGAUGACUUGGAAUUGGAUAAACAAUAAUUGUUAGUGAUUUUAAAAAUUAUAUUAGUCACAAUAAAGGGUUUCAUUAUUAUAAUUUUAUAGGGACAUAUAAUAUGUUUGAUUAUGUUUGUUUCCUAUUAACCUCUCUUACUCCCUUCUACUC